RNAcentral lists this ribosomal RNA (412 nucleotides) under uncultured microorganism. RNAcentral describes it as "bacterial SSU rRNA". It matches the Rfam family "Archaeal small subunit ribosomal RNA", at positions 330 to 745 of the family's 1478-position model. The record is from RNAcentral.
GCGCAGCAGUCGCGAAACCUUCGCAAUGCGCGAAAGCGCGACGAGGGACUCCGAGUGCCUAUGCUCAGCAUAGGCUGUUCACCGGUGUAAAAGCCGGUGGAGGAAGGGGUGGACAAGACUGGUGCCAGCCGCCGCGGUAAUACCAGCGCCCCAAGUGGUGAUCGAUAUUAUUGGGUCUAAAACGUCCGUAGCCGGCCCGGUAAAUCCCCGGGUAAAUCGUCCAGCUUAACUGGUCGAAUUCUGGGGAGACUGCCGGGCUUGGGACCGGGAGAGGUCGGAGGUACUCCAGGGGUAGGGGUGAAAUCCUGUAAUCCCGUGGGGGACCACCGGUGGCGAAGGCGUCCGACUAGAACGGGUCCGACGGUAAGGGACGAAGGCUAGGGGAGCAAACGGGAUUAGAUACCCGUGUAGU